Molecule: ribosomal RNA, 495 nt
Filed under: uncultured bacterium
Lineage: Bacteria
Description: partial 16S ribosomal RNA
Rfam family: Bacterial small subunit ribosomal RNA
Source: RNAcentral
GAUGAACGCUGGCGGCGUGCUUAACACAUGCAAGUCGAGCGAAGCACUUAGGAAGGAUUCUUCGGAUGAUUUCCUAUUUGACUGAGCGGCGGACGGGUGAGUAACGCGUGGGUAACCUGCCUCAUACAGGGGGAUAACAGUUAGAAAUGACUGCUAAUACCGCAUAAGACCGCAGCACCGCAUGGUGCAGGGGUAAAAACUCCGGUGGUAUGAGAUGGACCCGCGUCUGAUUAGUUAGUUGGUGGGGUAACGGCCUACCAAGGGGACGAUCAGUAGCCGACCUGAGAGGGGGACCGGCCACAUUGGGACUGAGACACGGCCCAAACUCCUACGGGAGGCAGCAGUGGGGAAUAUUGCACAAUGGGGGAAACCCUGAUGCAGCGACGCCGCGUGAGCGAAGAAGUAUUUCGGUAUGUAAAGCUCUAUCAGCAGGGAAGAAAAUGACGGUACCUGACUAAGAAGCCCCGGCUAACUACGUGCCAGCAGCCGCCGUAA